RNAcentral lists this long non-coding RNA (4325 nucleotides) under Neodiprion lecontei (redheaded pine sawfly). RNAcentral describes it as "uncharacterized LOC124295515". Lineage: Eukaryota; Metazoa; Arthropoda; Insecta; Hymenoptera; Diprionidae. The record is from RNAcentral.
UAAGAUAAUCUCAAGUUGACGGCAACAAAGUUUGUAUUUAAUCACGCGUCGAAUUUGUGACGAUGUGAUCCAUUCGAAGUAAACAUCGAGGAUAAGAGGUCGGAGCGGAUCAGUUUGCCGAGAAGAGUCGGAGGCAACAGUUUGAUUUUGAAAUUGCGUGAAGAAAUCUCUGCGAAGUGUGAAAGAAAUGAAUCCUGAUCAGUAUAUUCGGAAGCAAAGUUACAUUUUGCUGGAAUCGAAUGCAAUACGAUCGAAGCAACACUAAGACACACUUGGAAAACCUGAAAAACCUGAAAAACCUGAAAAACCUGGAAAACUUGACAAACCUGAAAAACCUGGAAAACCUGGAAAACCUGGAAUUGGAAAAAAACUGAAAAUAUCAGUUUCCUAUCAUGGGAAUUGGAAACGAUUUUUCGAGAUUGCAAGAUUGAAAAAAAAGAGAAGGAAUGAAGUGUGAAAUCGUACCGCAGCGUUCCCGUGGCACACUCUGGAGUCGUGGUUAUAUUUAUCACCAGCUCAGAACGGAGGUGACAGUCAUAGUGAAAUACUGUAAGUCAAUCGAUACCAUCAUAUUUAAUCCAGCAUUUCCUAUUUUUGAAUUUGAACUUAAAAAUUGAUACAAACUCAACUCCCUUUUCUACGUUGCAAUGAAAAGGAGGGUUAUACUGAGUAAGGCAACUCAACAUUCAAUGAGAGUAAGUGAGUUGCGUAGGGAAUAAACAAUCAAUUUUAUUUUGAAGUGCAAAGCAAAUGGCUAGAUUAUCGGUUGGCGACAUCCUCGCCCCUCGGUACAGGACGCGCGUUAGUUAUAUAAAAAAUGAAAAAUGUAUUACGUUUUUGUGAAAUAAUUACACUCGGGACUUUUACUGUAGGAUAUAGCUUUAUUUCACAGAUGAGUCACUGAGUCACACACACACAAAAACUGACUUUCAGGUCGUGUUUCAUGCAAAACUAAAAAUAUAGUGCCUUUUUCGUAAUAAUCAAAUGCUCAUGAAUUUUUUGAGAAAAAGAUGAUGAACCAUAAACGUUAGCUCUUUUGGUCUGCGCCGAAGCAAACUUGGUUAUUAUAUUUUCGAAUGGGAUGGAACGAAGCAAAUCUGCAUUGGCCACGAAGGAAGUUAGAGGAGUAAGUCCUUGAUCAGCAAGAGAGUUCCUUAAAAGACUGAUGACUCUCUUCAGAACUGAAAAGGAGCGUUCACCGCUAGCAUUUUUAGGUAAAAUACAUAUAAAUACGAGUAUUCUAAGCAGCGUGUUCACGCGUUUGACGAUCAAUACAGUUCAAAAUAUAGCUCAGCUUGAUAAGUUUCAGUGCGUAGAACCAGAGUGCAGGCGGUUGCCACUUGAUGUCCUGAUAACCGUGAGCGCGCAAAUUUCGGUAAAUAAGUUUCGGUCCUGAGUGACUACUAAAAAAUUAAAAAUUUCAUUUCAACAAUAUAAAAAUUCUAGUGAUCUUCCUUCUUUCAUCUAAAUUCAGGAACCACUAUCAAUUUAAUCUAAUUUUGAUCGGGACGGAUCUAAGCAAAUCCUCAUCCAAGGUUCUUGAAUGAAAAGUGUUCGAAAAUUCUCCGGAGACGACACUAAGUAUCGGAUUAUUCGCAAAACUUUCCUACAAUCACGGAUCAUGCCACCGUAACGCUCAUUCAAACCCACAUUUAACGUGUUAACAACUUUCUCAUCAAGUAAUGAACGCAAAUUAUCCGCACAGGAAACUCUAUACUCGAUGUACGAGCGUAUAUACGAGCGUAGCUUUGCGCAUAUUUCAUAAACCGCCUUAUCCUCAAUUGGUAUCCCUGUAUUGGGUCCACUCUCCAUUACGGGCUCGCCUCUUAGAGCCACUAGCCAAUUCUUCGACUCGUUCACCAAGCCACUCAGGGGGCAUCAGCUGGACGAGUCACAUGAUGUGCUCGGUUGGGGUCGCGUUGCACGCUUAGGUGGGGGGUGUGCUUUCCACAAUUCUCUGGAUUGGUUCGAGUGUUCUUUCGCUUACUGUUAAUUCUGUCCCUCCUACGAUGAUUCGACUAAAAUAAGAGAGCUCUCUUAGGUAGCGAUAAUUCUACUAGAACUUAAGGUUGACCUUUGGAGACCCUCAUCUUUGUGUAAUUGGGUCUGAUGUUACUUCGGUCAAUGAACUCAAUUGCACUAUCCGUAUUGCUCGGGCUUUUUCCUCUACUCCGGAAGGGUUUUUACGCCCGAGCAUGUUGCAAUUCACUAAAUUACCUGCGGAACGACUGCGUUAUUAAUUAAAACCCCGACUAUCAAAUCCUCCUCGAAUUAUCCCUUUAUGACACAAAUCACAGUUGUGACACAGUAUUCAAAUUUGGGUAGAAUCCGAUGAGCCCUUUAUUGCGAAUAAUUUUCAAGAGAUCUCCAGAUAAAUUUGUCUCCGAUGAGAACUCUUUCAGAAAAUUCUGAAAAUGUGCAAAUUCAUCUAUUAAUCCCUCCUCGAGAUCAUCAGAAUAUAUUUUAAUAAUUUCAAUAGCCUACAUUCUGAUGCUACUAACUGAAAGCGAGGACAAUUUACGUGAGAAAUCCAAAUCUCGAGUCGAUCUCAGAAUAGGUAACAAUCCUGCGCGAUAGUUUUGCGAACAAUUUGUCGAUUACGAGCAAAUAGGUAUUGAUUCCCAUGUUACUGCGAGCAUUAAAUGUUGUUUCGUUUGCUCCACUCUCGUCACACCUGAGCUUUCGUCUCUUAGAUCUAUCAAUUUGACCCUGAAUACUCGUCAGAUCCAGAUAACUUUUUGCCUUGUGCUUCGUUGUGAUCGUAUAGCUCUCGAAGCCUUCGAUAUAAUUUUUGAGGGUAUUGUAAUAACGCUCAAUGUCAUCUAAAUUAGCGGAGACCCGCUGCAGUGAUUUAUUCACUCAUUCGACGCUUGCCAAGAUGUUUGCCCAAAACUUCACGAGAAGUCUCUAGAAGUUGAAAUUGGUGACUCAAGCCCUCAGCCUCAGCUCGGAUCUCUGGCUUCUCAUAGCAAUCAUUUAAUAUUUUGUUAAUAGCUGAAUGAAAUGCAUCGUACAUCUCUUUUAACACGAAUCUUGAUCACGCUGACCAUUCGACGCAAAACUCGAUGCAAGUAGUCACUUCUUUUGCAUAUUGCUCGUGAACCUUCGUGUCUAUUUUACCUAAAACACUUGCUCGCUUUAUCAUAGCUGUUAGAUUAGCUCGGUACUCUCGGCUUUUUUCACGUUCCGCAAUGCGAUUUUCGUGUUUCCAAUCAUUGAAACCCGUUGAAAAAACAUUCGGAUGCAGGUUACUAGAAAAAAGUUUGCGUGAAAUGCUGAAAAAUUUUCCUUUCGACUAAGAGUAUCUAAGCCAUACCGUCUUAUUAGUCUGGCUACUUUUAAUUUUAGUGAAAAACAUAGACUUUCAUGCUGACCAUGUUUGGAUAUCAUGAACGCGAUUGGAUUUCGCAAAAUUGGUAUCAUCCAAGCUGCUCAAGGGUGUUAUAUAUUUCUAAUAUCCUUGUUAUAUAUUUCUAAUAUCCAAUAUCCUUGGUCUCCUCAGUCAACAGGGGCCACUUGGCGGGAUCUGAAAGGUCGAUCUCGGGGACAUCAUCGACUUUGCACUCUGAAAAUUUUGCAUGAUGCUUUUCAAAAGCAGGAAAAUCAGCAUUAUGUCGGUAAUUGUACCCGAAUCGAAUUUCUCAUCGUCAGGAUUAGCGGCAAGUGUAACAUUGGAUUUGACUCGUUUUCUUUCUCGAGCUCGGGCGAAGCAACGCCCCCAACUUGGAGGAGUCCCUGGGCUAUAGCCCUGCUAGCCCAUGCCUACAGAUGGCACUGCAGCCCUUGGACGUUGCUGUUGAGCUCGGUCUUCUUGCGGUGAUCGGGAGCCGCGCAUGGAAGGUUCUCAACAACGUUCCACCACGUGUUAAGGAAGUUUUGCGCGUCGCCGAGGUUUAAGUCCCUCCUAGGUUCGGCCGCGUUCCUCGUCCAGACGUGGCCGAGGUACGUACUUCACGCGUAGAUGGCCAGCUUUUAACUGGACUCACGGUCCGAUGAAACUGACCAGUAGGUUUCACAUUCUCAAGAUAUCUCGCUUCAGUCGCUUUGCGACGCUCUGCUCACAAGCUGUUGAUCCCGUGAGACGGAUGCACAGUGGUUCCAAAUCCCGAAUCGCUGGCCAAAUAUAGAAGGUAUUAUCGAGGCGCUAUCAGAUUUAUUACUCGGGGGUUUUUGGGGUCGCUGAACACCAUUCUGAAAUCAAAUUUCCAAAAAACAAAAUCGUGGCCCGAAAAUGGCGGAUAAUUUUAUUUAAACUUGAAUCAAUCUCUAUGGAAUUAGGUACCAAGGGGUUUUGAAUAGAAAUAAUUUAUUAUUACGUACAUGUG